Long non-coding RNA from Drosophila santomea, 1437 nucleotides. RefSeq lists it as uncharacterized. The record is from RefSeq and is a predicted model, not a curated record. The transcript has 3 exons. NCBI's taxonomy places the organism in Eukaryota, Metazoa, Arthropoda, Insecta, Diptera, Drosophilidae.
GAUGUUGAUACCUUUCGACUGGGUUGAGUAAGUAAUCAAUAGAUGGCGCUGCUAUUGAAAUCAACGAACGUGUCAUAUAAGCUACAUUUUAACAGCAUAAUUAUCACGUAUUGUUGACGCUAUAAAAUUAAUUAAAUUCAGGCACAAGAAUAUCAAGAACAGUGUAACGAACGUCUUCAAGAGAAUAUCAUGAGAACAUGAGCAGCAGGAGAACGAGACAUAGCCACAGUAGGAGUACAGGAACAAUAAUUUCAAUUUAUACACUCAAAAAUGCCACCGAAAAGAUCUAACCUCAACAACGCGAGCAGCAAAGGGUCUCGACGCAAACGUGUUGAAAGAGCUCAGCAAAUACCAGAACAAAUCAAAACAAGAAAUGCAGCUCAAAGAAUCAGGACUGCAGAAAGUCGUGCACAAGAAUCUCAAGAACGGCGUGACGAACGUCUGCAACAGAAUAUUACGAGAACAAGAGCGGCACGAGAACGAAACAUAGCUACAGUACGAGUACUAGGUCGACAAAGGCAACGAAUCAGCCGUUCAUUAACACGUGCAUCAUUCGUUCGGCUUGCCUUUGAAUAUGCACCAGAUAUUAACUACUCAGCGCAUUCAAAAAUUGCUAUCGGUGGAAUGGAUAAAGUAUAUCAAUAUUGUCAGGCAUUGAAAUUUCGGAAUGAAGCAGCCGGCAUGUGCUGCGCAUCAGGAAAAGUUGUACUGUCACCUCUACCCGCUCCGCCGGAGCCUUUAUUAUCCCUUCUUACUGGCAAUUCAGAUGAUUCCAAAUUAUUUUUGCGUAAGAUACGCAAAUUUAAUUCUUGCUUCCAAAUGACGUCAUUUGGGGCAACUAAAAUUUGCGAUCGUGCAUCCGAUGGACGUAAUUUUGAAACUACAUUCAAAAUUCAAGGCCAGGUGUACCAUAAAAUCGGAUCCUUGAUGCCAAUGCCUGAUAACCAUCCGAAAUUUCUUCAAAUUUAUUUUAUGGGCGAUCAUGAAGAGCGCGUGACGACUCGGUGCCUGUAUAAUUUUAUUGAACAAGCAGACGGAAGAGCAAUUGUGAUAUUAUUGGAAAAUUUUUUAGAAGAUCACAAUCAACUAAUUCAAUUGAUCAAAAGAGUUUCGCCACGACUGCAAAAUGACAAUUAUUAAAUCGUCAUAAAAGCCGACAAAGUACCAUUAGGUGAACAUGCUGGUAGAUUCAACGCUCCAACUGUUGAUGAGGUUGCUGUUAUCAUGGUUGGUGAUCCAGUUGACAAAAGAUCUAUAAAAAUUACACGGCGAGACCACACUGUCAAUACGAUUUCGGAUCUACACCGUUCAUAUGACGCACUACAGUAUCCAUUGAUAUUUUGGCAAGGACAAGAUGAAUAUCACCUUAAUAUCAAACAGUAUGAUCCAAAUACCGGUGAUUACAGUAAUAAACAAGAGAGAACGCUAUAGUCGAGU